RNAcentral lists this ribosomal RNA (2902 nucleotides) under Streptococcus pneumoniae. RNAcentral describes it as "23S ribosomal RNA". It matches the Rfam family "Bacterial large subunit ribosomal RNA". Lineage: Bacteria; Bacillati; Bacillota; Bacilli; Lactobacillales; Streptococcaceae. RNAcentral also lists the same sequence under 1 other name. The record is from RNAcentral.
GGUUAAGUUAAUAAGGGCGCACGGUGGAUGCCUUGGCACUAGGAGCCGACGAAGGACGUGACAAACGACGAUAUGCCUUGGGUAGCUGUAAGUAAGCGAUGAUCCAGGGAUUUCCGAAUGGGGGAACCCAACAGGUAAUACCUGUUACCUACAUCUGUUAAGGAUGUGAGGAGGAAGACGCAGUGAACUGAAACAUCUAAGUAGCUGCAGGAAGAGAAAGCAAAAGCGAUUGCCUUAGUAGCGGCGAGCGAAACGGCAGAAGGGCAAACCGAAGAGUUUACUCUUCGGGGUUGUAGGACUGCAAUGUGGACUCAAAGAUUAUAGAAGAAUGAUUUGGGAAGAUCAGCCAAAGAGAGUAAUAGCCUCGUAUUUAAAAUAGUCUUUGUACUUAGCAGUAUCCUGAGUACGGCGGGACACGUGAAAUCCCGUCGGAAUCUGGGAGGACCAUCUCCCAACCCUAAAUACUCCCUAGUGACCGAUAGUGAACCAGUACCGUGAGGGAAAGGUGAAAAGCACCCCGGGAGGGGAGUGAAAUAGAACCUGAAACCGUGUGCCUACAACAAGUUCGAGCCCGUUAAUGGGUGAGAGCGUGCCUUUUGUAGAAUGAACCGGCGAGUUACGUUAUGAUGCGAGGUUAAGUUGAAGAGACGGAGCCGUAGGGAAACCGAGUCUGAAUAGGGCGCCUUAGUAUCAUGACGUAGACCCGAAACCAUGUGACCUACCCAUGAGCAGGUUGAAGGUGCGGUAAGACGCACUGGAGGACCGAACCAGGGCACGUUGAAAAGUGCUUGGAUGACUUGUGGGUAGCGGAGAAAUUCCAAACGAACUUGGAGAUAGCUGGUUCUCUCCGAAAUAGCUUUAGGGCUAGCGUCGACAUUAGAGAUUCUUGGAGGUAGAGCACUGUUUGGGUGAGGGGUCCAUCCCGGAUUACCAAUCUCAGAUAAACUCCGAAUGCCAAUGAAUUAUGGUCGGCAGUCAGACUGCGAGUGCUAAGAUCCGUAGUCGAAAGGGAAACAGCCCAGACCACCAGCUAAGGUCCCAAAAUAAUUGUUAAGUGGAAAAGGAUGUGGGGUUGCACAGACAACUAGGAUGUUAGCUUAGAAGCAGCUAUUCAUUCAAAGAGUGCGUAAUAGCUCACUAGUCGAGUGACCCUGCGCCGAAAAUGUACCGGGGCUAAAACAAUUUACCGAAGCUGUGGAUACCUUUAUAGGUAUGGUAGGAGAGCGUUCUAUGUGUGAUGAAGGUAUACCGUGAGGAGUGCUGGAACGCAUAGAAGUGAGAAUGCCGGUAUGAGUAGCGAAAGACAGGUGAGAAUCCUGUCCACCGUAAGACUAAGGUUUCCAGGGGAAGGCUCGUCCGCCCUGGGUUAGUCGGGACCUAAGGAGAGACCGAAAGGUGUAUCCGAUGGACAACAGGUUGAUAUUCCUGUACUAGAGUAUGUAGUGAUGGAGGGACGCAGUAGGCUAACUAAAGCAGACGAUUGGAAGAGUCUGUCUAAGCAGUGAGGUGUGAAUUGAGUCAAAUGCUUAAUUCUAUAACAUUGAGCUGUGAUGGGGAGCGAAGUUUAGUAGCGAAGUUAGUGACGUCACACUGCCAAGAAAAGCUUCUAGCGUUUAAACAUACUCUACCCGUACCGCAAACCGACACAGGUAGUCGAGGCGAGUAGCCUCAGGUGAGCGAGAGAACUCUCGUUAAGGAACUCGGCAAAAUGACCCCGUAACUUCGGGAGAAGGGGUGCUGACUUAAAGUCAGCCGCAGUGAAUAGGCCCAAGCAACUGUUUAUCAAAAACACAGCUCUCUGCUAAAUCGUAAGAUGAUGUAUAGGGGGUGACGCCUGCCCGGUGCUGGAAGGUUAAGAGGAGUGCUUAGCGUAAGCGAAGGUAUGAAUUGAAGCCCCAGUAAACGGCGGCCGUAACUAUAACGGUCCUAAGGUAGCGAAAUUCCUUGUCGGGUAAGUUCCGACCCGCACGAAAGGCGUAAUGAUUUGGGCACUGUCUCAACGAGAGACUCGGUGAAAUUUUAGUACCUGUGAAGAUGCAGGUUACCCGCGACAGGACGGAAAGACCCCAUGGAGCUUUACUGCAGUUUGAUAUUGAGUGUCUGUACCACAUGUACAGGAUAGGUAGGAGUCUAAGAGAUCGGGACGCCAGUUUCGAAGGAGACGCUGUUGGGAUACUACCCUUGUGUUAUGGCCACUCUAACCCAGAUAGGUGAUCCCUAUCGGAGACAGUGUCUGACGGGCAGUUUGACUGGGGCGGUCGCCUCCUAAAAGGUAACGGAGGCGCCCAAAGGUUCCCUCAGAAUGGUUGGAAAUCAUUCGCAGAGUGUAAAGGUAUAAGGGAGCUUGACUGCGAGAGCUACAACUCGAGCAGGGACGAAAGUCGGGCUUAGUGAUCCGGUGGUUCCGUAUGGAAGGGCCAUCGCUCAACGGAUAAAAGCUACCCUGGGGAUAACAGGCUUAUCUCCCCCAAGAGUUCACAUCGACGGGGAGGUUUGGCACCUCGAUGUCGGCUCGUCGCAUCCUGGGGCUGUAGUCGGUCCCAAGGGUUGGGCUGUUCGCCCAUUAAAGCGGCACGCGAGCUGGGUUCAGAACGUCGUGAGACAGUUCGGUCCCUAUCCGUCGCGGGCGUAGGAAAUUUGAGAGGAUCUGCUCCUAGUACGAGAGGACCAGAGUGGACUUACCGCUGGUGUACCAGUUGUCUUGCCAAAGGCAUCGCUGGGUAGCUAUGUAGGGAAGGGAUAAACGCUGAAAGCAUCUAAGUGUGAAACCCACCUCAAGAUGAGAUUUCCCAUGAUUAUAUAUCAGUAAGAGCCCUGAGAGAUGAUCAGGUAGAUAGGUUAGAAGUGGAAGUGUGGCGACACAUGUAGCGGACUAAUACUAAUAGCUCGAGGACUUAUCCAA